Long non-coding RNA from Neopelma chrysocephalum (saffron-crested tyrant-manakin), 329 nucleotides. RefSeq lists it as uncharacterized. The record is from RefSeq and is a predicted model, not a curated record. NCBI's taxonomy places the organism in Eukaryota, Metazoa, Chordata, Aves, Passeriformes, Pipridae. The transcript is spliced from 3 exons.
GAGGAGGAGCCUCCGGAAGGGGCGGAGGAUGAGGACGGGGCCGAGGAGGAGGAAGGACACGGGGACGGCCCCGGGGCCCCGCCCCGGCAGUGGGAGCGCUACCGGCACGGCGUCCUCACCCUGGGCUGCGUCGGGCUGCCGAACGCGGGCAAGUCGUCGGUGGUGAACGCCCUGAUUGGCCGCAGCGCGGUGGGCGUGUCCCGCACCCCCGGCCACACCCGCUACUUCCAGACCCACUUCCUGACGGGCACCGUGCGACUCUGCGACUGCCCCGGGCUCGUCUUCCCCUCCACGGCCCCCCCAGAGCUCCAGGUCCUGGCAGGGGUGUA